AUUACAACGAUGGAACCCCUCUUCUUCGUGCAGUCGUGCUCUACCGUUCAAUCCCAGGCCGCCACCGCGCACCACCCAUCCUGCCGCAACGCUCCCCACGUCUGGCCUCUCACCGCAUCUCGUGCUCUCAUCUCUCAGCCUUCCAAGUUUCAGCAGGGUUUCCAUAUCCUGGAGAAACCACCCGUGUUAUAUAUUUUGUUGCUUUGUUGUGUAAAUUGUAAACAUAUACUGUAGUUAUAUAUAAUAUCCUGUGAUUAUGAUUAUCUUUUCUAUAGAAUAUCAGUGUUUAGGGUUUUAGACUUUAGUUGCUGUAAUCUCCAAUCCCAAAUGAAAAGCAGCACUAUGUUGUUAGAUGAGAUGAAAUGAGGCAGGUGAAGGCGCUUCAGCUGUUUCAUGAUUUGGUGAACAAGAAUGAACCAGCUCGGUUGCUUGGUUUGGAUGUCGGUGAUAAAUACGUUGGUCUUGCUCUUUCCGACUUCCAGAACAAGAUUGCUUCGCCCUUUAGUGUUCUGGUCAGGAAGAAAUCAAAUAUUGAUUUAAUGGCUUCCGAUUUCGAGACUCUAAUCUCUAAAUAUUCAUUGAAGGGCUUUGUUGUUGGCCUCCCUUUCAGCUGUCACCGUGUUUCUACUGAUGCUGGACAAGUGAAGGUCUUCAUUGAUGCCCUUUCUAGAACUAAAAAACUUCAAGGUCUGAAAUAUACUUAUUGGAACGAGUCUUUCACGUCAAAGAAUGUUGAAUUGCUCUUAAGGCCUUUGAACUUGAAUAAUGCAGUUCAUUCCAAGACUAUGCUCGACAAAUUUGCUGCUGUAGGGAUACUCCAGGGGUACCUGGAUUAUGUUAACAGAAAAAUGAAGUUAAUUGAAACAGAGUAAGACUCUAAUAAUGGUGUCUCUUUCUGCAGGUAGGCAUGAGCCAGAUAUCACAUGUAGAAAACUGUUGUUGUAAAGACUUUUUAUCCAAAGAAUAAAGAAUCCAUGUAGAAUGCACAGUUAGAUGGAUUAUGGAAUUGAAGAUGUAAACAAUGAUAUAUUACUUUGGGACUUCAUCAGUGUUUUAUGUUACUGGUUGAUCAAUAGGUAGAACUUGUGUAAGCACCAAAGUAGGGGAAGGAAAAAUUGGCUUCACAGAAGAUCAAACGUGCGACAUCAACUCCAGCAAAUUUUAAACCUUUUAAAGUUGAACGGCAAGCUUGUUGUGAUUGACUCUAUUCAAUUUAUUUCUUGGAGAUUAGCAGAGAAAUUAUUAAGAAAAAGCAGAGAAAGUAGAAAAAAGACUUGGUCUCAGCAAUUUGACUGCCCCACCAAAUAGACUACAACCAAUUUCUUUGGAAAGCAAGCAUCAAAUUAUUUCAUUAACAUACUUUUACUUUUUUUUUUUUUUGGGAAUUUGAUUAUGACGAAAAGUGACUCAGGAAAUUGUUUUCUCAAGCCAAGCUCCAUACUUGUACCUUGCUCUUUGUAGGUAUUACUUGGUAAGUACCAUGUUAAUUCUUCGAGCUUGCACAUGCUGGAAGUUUUGGAGAAACUUUGGAUUGCGUUUCUUUUCUGUUAUAGAUUCUAUAAAAUAUUUAGUAUUUGUGUUUGUUUUCA
Arachis ipaensis is the source of this 1589-nucleotide non-coding RNA. NCBI's taxonomy places the organism in Eukaryota, Viridiplantae, Streptophyta, Magnoliopsida, Fabales, Fabaceae. The record is from RefSeq and is a predicted model, not a curated record.